UACGAAGGGGGCUAGCGUUGUUCGGAGUUACUGGGCGUAAAGGGCGCGUAGGCGGCGCACCAAGUCAGGCGUGAAAGCCCUGGGCUCAACCCGGGAAUUGCGCUUGAGACUGGUGUGCUUGAGUACGGGAGAGGAUAGUGGAAUUCCCAGUGUAGAGGUGAAAUUCGUAGAUAUUGGGAAGAACACCGGUGGCGAAGGCGGCCUGCUGGGACAGUGCUGACGCUGAGGAGCGAAAGCGUGGGGAGCGAACAGG
RNAcentral lists this ribosomal RNA (253 nucleotides) under uncultured bacterium. RNAcentral describes it as "partial 16S ribosomal RNA". It matches the Rfam family "Bacterial small subunit ribosomal RNA", at positions 524 to 776 of the family's 1533-position model. The record is from RNAcentral.